UGUUUUUCACCUUCUUCCUAAAAAGACCCACACAAAGGUUCAAUGUUCUGUACUUUGUGUCUGCUUUUCCUCCCAACCCCCAGAAUGCUGGCUAAUUGAAUUCCAUUAAUUUUAACUACAGUCCAAUUAGCUAAGUUGUCCUGAAUGUCUUCUUCUUCUUCUAAUUCUUUCUUAGGUUAUAUUUUUUUGCCACUGGUAUUUAUUGUGCCCAUAGGUGGAUAUGUAAUGUAUUCCUCAAUCCAUCUCAUCUUGGCUUAGUGUGUUCUCUGCAUUCUCUUAAAGCAGUGCUUUAGUCCUCAUAUCAGUGUUUUUAAAUUUCUACUUUGAACCUGCCCACUGCUAGUUGUUUUAUCAUCUUCUUUAAUAAUUAAAACAAAAUAAAAUAAGGAGCCAUCUGUCCCCAUCCUUCACGAUAUGAGAAAGUUCAUGCCCUUGGAGGCAUUUUUGAGGAUUCUCAGGGUACUUAGCUGCCCUAUGUGUUACCUGUCACCACUUUAUACUGUUACCUUAGUCUGUGAUAACCUGAUAACUUCUGCUGUCACCACUUAUUACAAUGUAUCAACUCUUUCUGGUCUGUGUUAGCACAAGAGUAAGAUUUCUUAGAUGAGGUGUGUGUUUAUGCUCAUAUUGAGGGAGGGGAGGCGACUGGAGGCAUCAUGUACAGAAGAGGAAACAACUGAAUUUUCAGAUAUCACUGUUGUUAACUUUAUUCUCAUGUACCAAGUUACAAGUGAUCUGCACUACUCAGGUUCAUACAUCUCAGCUAUCUGUAGAGAUUUUAAACAGCUAGAUAAUUACUGAGUUACAGCUGUGGAAAGUAUUCAAGAUAUGAGAUCUGUGAGAGGUGGGUGUUGAUGCAGGCUGGAAGGCUUUCUACUGAUCCCUGAGGUUUAUAGAGAAGAAAGACAGACGAAGGGGCAAGAAAUGCUUGAGAUAGGUAAAAUAGCUUGAGCAAAGGUGUCAGUUAGGGAAAGAGCUGUCAGAGGAAAUGAAAGAGGGACAGUGCUUCCACAAUGUGGAGAGAUAGGUGUGGUGAUAAAAGACAAGGUGCACACAGAGUGGUUCAUUCAGGGCCUUGCAGAUCAGCUAGACUUCUUUGGAUUUCUUUUUUCUUAAGAAGGUGAAAUACUUGAAAGGGGUUAUGCAUUUAUAAAAGAUCACUAGACUGAACCAUGGAGAAUGGAUUAGAUGGUACAGAUAUGGAUGCAGAAAGACAAGAGAGGAAUCUGUUUCAUGGAGCAAGGCAAGAAGUGUUGGAGUCUUGAAUCAGGUUGGUGGCAAGGUAAAUGAAAAGAAGGAAGUGGGCUCAGGAAAUAUUUCAGAGUUAAAAUGGCAGGGUUUGAUGGUAAUUUACUUAAAAGAAUAGGGCUUCACAAUUUAGUGCUAUGGACAGAACUGGAUGAAAUAUAGUUUUUAAGGAAAGAUCUCAUAGAGACUCUCAUAGAAAUUAAGGAAAAUUUUCAAAUUUAAGUCUGGAUAUCAGAGGUUGGAGAUGAAGUUUUGAAGGUGGGAACAUAUACAUGGUAAUAAAAGCCUAGAGAAUGCCGGACUUAUUUAGACAGAAAGUCUAAAGAGUCUAAUGAAUAAUAAUUUUUAAAGGUCAUAGGAUAAUGUUAAAAUUGGCAAUGAACUCUGAAAAGGAUGAGGUAAAAAGAUAAAAAGGAAAAGCAGAGAGUCCUGUUCCAUGGAAUACCAACGAAGAAUAUGUUCCAGAAGAAAAGUGGCCUGUUGUAUAAGAGAUUGCCG
Molecule: long non-coding RNA, 1746 nt
Filed under: Marmota monax (woodchuck)
Lineage: Eukaryota; Metazoa; Chordata; Mammalia; Rodentia; Sciuridae
Source: RNAcentral